AUACGGAGGGGGCUAGCGUUGUUCGGAAUUACUGGGCGUAAAGCGCACGUAGGCGGAUUAAAAAGUUAGAGGUGAAAUCCCAGGGCUUAACCCUGGAACUGCCUUUAAAACUAGUAGUCUAGAGUUCGAGAGAGGUGAGUGGAAUUCCAAGUGUAGAGGUGAAAUUCGUAGAUAUUUGGAGGAACACCAGUGGCGAAGGCGGCUCACUGGCUCGAUACUGACGCUGAGGUGCGAAAGCGUGGGGAGCAACCAGGAUUAGAUACCCCAGUAGUCC
This 274-nucleotide ribosomal RNA is filed under the name uncultured bacterium. RNAcentral describes it as "partial 16S ribosomal RNA". It matches the Rfam family "Bacterial small subunit ribosomal RNA", at positions 523 to 796 of the family's 1533-position model. The record is from RNAcentral.